GACGAACGCUGGCGGCGUGCCUAAUACAUGCAAGUUGAGCGCUGAAGUUUGGUACUUGUACCAACUGGUUGAUCAGCGAACGGGUGAGUAACGCGUGGUGAAUCUGCCUUUUAGCGGGGUACACCAUUUUGAAACGAAUUCUAAUCCCGCAUAAAAUCUUUAAACACAAUUUUUAAGUUUUUAAUUUGCUAUUUCAUCACUCAAACAUGUUCCCGCGUUGUAUUAGCUAGUUGGUGAGUUAAAGGCUCACCAAGGCGAUGAUAUAUAGCCGACCUGAGAGGGUGAACGGCAAAAAUGGGAAUGAGACAAGGCACAAACGCCUAAGGGAGGCAGCAGUAGGGAAUCAUCGGAAAAGGACGAAAGACAGAAAGAGCAACGCGGCGGGAGGGAAGAAGGUGUUCGGAUCGUAAAACAAUGUAGGUAGAGAAGAAAGUUGGUGAGAGUGGAAAGCACAUAAAGUGACGGUAACGACACAGAAAGGGACGGCUAACUACGUG
RNAcentral lists this ribosomal RNA (497 nucleotides) under uncultured bacterium. Its description in RNAcentral is "partial 16S ribosomal RNA". It matches the Rfam family "Bacterial small subunit ribosomal RNA", at positions 28 to 507 of the family's 1533-position model. The record is from RNAcentral.